GACGAACCGAGCGAACGUUGUUCGGAAUCACUGGGCUUAAAGGGCGCGUAGGCGGGUGCUCAAGUCUGUGGUGAAAUCCUCCAGCUCAACUGGAGAACUGCCAUGGAUACUGGGUGUCUCGAGGAAGAUAGGGGUAUGCGGAACGAUUGGUGGAGCGGUGAAAUGCGUUGAUAUCAAUCGGAACUCCGGUGGCGAAGGCGGCAUACUGGAUCUUAUCUGACGCUGAGGCGCGAAAGCUAGGGGAGCAAACGGG
RNAcentral lists this ribosomal RNA (253 nucleotides) under uncultured bacterium. RNAcentral describes it as "partial 16S ribosomal RNA". It matches the Rfam family "Bacterial small subunit ribosomal RNA", at positions 524 to 776 of the family's 1533-position model. The record is from RNAcentral.